AGAGUUUGAUCAUGGCUCAGAUUGAACGCUGGCGGCGUGCUUAACACAUGCAGGUCGAGCGGUAACAGGCGUAGCAAUACGUGCUGACGAGCGGCGAACGGGUGCGUAAUACAUGGGAAUCUGCCUUUUAGUGGGGAAUAACCCGGCGAAAGCCGGGCUAAUGCCGCAUAAGAUCUUCGGAUGAAAGCGGGGGAUCGUAAGACCUCGCGCUGAUAGAUGAGCCCAUGCCGGAUUAGCUAGUUGGUGAGGUAACGGCUCACCAAGGCGACGAUCCGUAGCUGGUCUGAGAGGACGGCCAGCCACACUGGGACUGAGACACGGCCCAGACUCCUACGGGAGGCAGCAGUGGGGAAUAUUGGACAAUGGGGGAAACCCUGAUCCAGCGACGCCGCGUGUGUGAAGAAGGCCUGCGGGUUGUAAAGCACUUUCGGUGGGAACGAAAUAUGCCGGGCUAAUACCCCGGUAGGCUGACGUACUCAAGAAGAGCCCC
This 490-nucleotide ribosomal RNA is filed under the name uncultured Thiorhodospira sp. Its description in RNAcentral is "bacterial SSU rRNA". It matches the Rfam family "Bacterial small subunit ribosomal RNA", at positions 8 to 496 of the family's 1533-position model. The record is from RNAcentral. Lineage: Bacteria; Pseudomonadati; Pseudomonadota; Gammaproteobacteria; Chromatiales; Ectothiorhodospiraceae.